This 790-nucleotide ribosomal RNA is filed under the name Achelous ventralis. RNAcentral describes it as "partial 28S ribosomal RNA". It matches the Rfam family "Eukaryotic large subunit ribosomal RNA", at positions 590 to 936 of the family's 3401-position model. Lineage: Eukaryota; Metazoa; Arthropoda; Malacostraca; Decapoda; Portunidae. The record is from RNAcentral.
UCGGCGGGCGUAUUUCCUCUCGUGAUGUAGGUCGCCGCGACCCGUUGCUGGGGACGUCUAAGGCCCGGGCGGAUUGGUACCCCGACGUCGCCGUCUCGGCGGCUUGGCGAAGGGGGAAACCUCCGGUGUCCUGGCUGCCCUGCGACGGUCGUGCAGCGGAGGGGUGUAUACGCACCUCCUCUCGCGGCGUGCAAAAGGUCGGUGACCCACCCGACCCGUCUUGAAACACGGACCAAGGAGUCUAACAUGUGUGCGAGUCAUUGGGCGCACUAAACCCAAAGGCGCAAUGAAAGUGAAAGGAGGGUGCCUCGGUACCCUCCGGGGCCGAUCCCCGACCGAAAGCCGAUGCCGCCGCGGUUAUCCCAUUCCAAAGCGAGGUCGCUGUGGCGGCGCACACGCGGGGUGAGACCCUUUCCCCCGCGUCGCCGCCGGYCUCGUGGGUGCCCGGCGCGCUCGGCGGUCUCUCGACCUGUACGCAGGGGGGCGCAGGCCCGGGACUUGCCAUUCGACGCCGGCGUGCGAAUCUGUUGUUGGUCAUCUUGGCUCUACUGGGCUCUCGGCUGGCGAGCCGCGUCUUCGGGCGCGGUCCCCGCCUACCGAUCCUGUUCUGUCCGGGGUGGCCUAGCGCGCUGUGCUGUCGGCAAGUACCAGGAGCAGACAUGUUGGGACCCGAAAGAUGGUGAACUAUGCCUGGCCAGGAUGAAGCCAGAGGAAACUCUGGUGGAGGUCCGCAGCAAUUCUGACGUGCAAAUCGAUUGUCAGAGCUGGGUAUAGGGGCGAAAGACUAAUC